Molecule: microRNA, 22 nt
Filed under: Oreochromis niloticus (Nile tilapia)
Lineage: Eukaryota; Metazoa; Chordata; Actinopteri; Cichliformes; Cichlidae
Description: oni-miR-10666
Source: miRBase by way of RNAcentral
AAACGGAGCAUGAUUCAAACUC